RNAcentral lists this unclassified non-coding RNA (123 nucleotides) under uncultured Rozellomycota. Its description in RNAcentral is "uncultured Cryptomycota sequence contains ITS2". The record is from RNAcentral. Lineage: Eukaryota; Fungi; Rozellomycota.
UGCUCCAUUUGAUCACCAUCAUUCGGUUGGUCAAGACAUGGACCUUCAUCACUGAUCGUCUUGAAUGCUGCACGGGCUGUCGUGACAGGUGAGUGUUCUCCACGAUCGACAGCCGCUCCUUUG